UACAGAGGUCUCAAGCGUUGUUCGGAUUCAUUGGGCGUAAAGGGUGCGUAGGUGGCGCCGUAAGUCGGGUGUGAAAUUUCGGAGCUUAACUCCGAAACUGCAUUCGAUACGGGCAGGCUAGAGUGUGGUAGGGAGAUCGGAAUUCCUGGUGUAGCGGUGAAAUGCGCAGAUAUCAGGAGGAACACCGGUGGCGAAGGCGGAUCUCUGGGCCAUUACUGACGCUGAGGAGCGAAAGCGUGGGAGCGAACAGG
This 251-nucleotide ribosomal RNA is filed under the name uncultured bacterium. RNAcentral describes it as "partial 16S ribosomal RNA". It matches the Rfam family "Bacterial small subunit ribosomal RNA", at positions 524 to 776 of the family's 1533-position model. The record is from RNAcentral.